RNAcentral lists this ribosomal RNA (232 nucleotides) under uncultured bacterium. RNAcentral describes it as "partial 16S ribosomal RNA". It matches the Rfam family "Bacterial small subunit ribosomal RNA", at positions 99 to 334 of the family's 1533-position model. The record is from RNAcentral.
CGGACGGGCGAGUAAUGUCUGGGAAACUGCCCGAUGGAGGGGGAUAACUACUGGAAACGGUAGCUAAUACCGCAUAACGUCGCAAGACCAAAGAGGGGGACCUUCGGGCCUCUUGCCAUCGGAUGUGCCCAGAUGGGAUUAGCUAGUAGGUGGGGUAACGGCUCACCUAGGCGACGAUCCCUAGCUGGUCUGAGAGGAUGACCAGCCACACUGGAACUGAGACACGGUCCAG